UAUUAAAGAGAAGACCAGCUCCGAUCGAUCCUCAGUUCUUCACAAUUUUUGUUAGUUGUAUACUUGUAUAGUAGCUAGGAUAUAUGAUGAGUUCCUCAUCAUCCCGUUGUUGUUAUGGUUCUUGGUUGCCCAAUAAUCAUGGUAUCCUCCUCGGCCUGCUGGCUUUGACAAUAGUGUUUUUUGGUCGGGCAGAGUGUCGGGCGUUCUUCGUUUUCGGAGACUCCCUGGUCGAUAAUGGCAACAAUAACUACCUGGCCACCACCGCCCGCGCCGACGGCCCGCCUUACGGCAUCGACUACCCCACCCACCGAGCCACCGGCCGCUUUUCUAAUGGCCUCAACAUACCAGAUAUCAUUAGUGAGAAAUUGGGGAUGGAGCCAACGUUGCCAUGUCUGAGCCCAGAUCUAAAGGGGGAGAAGCUUCUUGUCGGAGCCAAUUUCGCUUCCGCCGGCGUCGGAAUCCUCAAUGACACCGGCGUUCAGUUUAUGAAUAUAAUCAGAAUUGGGAAUCAACUGGAGUAUUUUGAGGAAUAUCAGAGGCGCGUGAGUGAUCUGAUCGGCGCGGGUGAAGCUAAGCAGCUGGUUAACAAGGCCCUGGUGCUCAUCACUCUCGGCGGCAACGAUUUCGUCAACAACUACUACUUGGUGCCCUUCUCCGCCAGAUUCCUCGCCAGUUCACUAUUCCCGAUUACGUUCCCUUUCUCAUUUCCGAGUAUCGCAAAAUUCUUCAGAGACUAUAUGAUUUGGGAGCUAGAAGGGUUAUUGUUACAGGAACCGGACCAAUUGGGUGUGUACCUGCGGAGCUGGCUCAGAGGAGCCGAGCCGGGGAGUGUGCUGUUGAUUUGCAGCGCGCCGCUGCCUUGUUCAACCCCCAGCUCACCCAAAUGUUAGCCGAGCUCAACAGUGAGCUCAAGGCCGAUGUUUUUGUAGCCGCUAACACUUACAAUAUGCACAUGGACUUCAUCUUCAACCCUCAAGCAUUUGGAUUUGUGACUUCAAAAGUAGCAUGUUGUGGGCAAGGACCAUACAAUGGAAUAGGACUAUGCACGCAGGCAUCAAACCUAUGCCCAAACAGGGAUAUCUAUGCGUUUUGGGAUCCAUUCCAUCCAUCGGAGAAGGCAAACAGGAUAAUUGUGCAGGGGAUCUUCAGUGGCUCCACGGACUACAUGCACCCAAUGAACCUCAGCACCAUCAUGGAAUUGGAUUCUAGGACCUAAUUAAUUGGUUAAUAAAUAUAUUGUAACGUUACGUUACUGUUAUUUUUUUUAUCUGCCAAUUAUUGUAUCCUUGGAAUUGUCAUUAUAGCUAGAGGGCAUGCCCGCAUAUGGUGCUUUUUGGUUAAUUUGUAUUCCUUAAAAUCGUGAAGUUAAUCGAUUAUUUGACGUUUAA
This is an RNA transcript of Ipomoea nil (Japanese morning glory), 1388 nucleotides long. It is a transcript of the gene named GDSL esterase/lipase At5g33370-like, with no coding region annotated. The transcript has 5 exons. Lineage: Eukaryota; Viridiplantae; Streptophyta; Magnoliopsida; Solanales; Convolvulaceae. The record is from RefSeq and is a predicted model, not a curated record.